GGAAGGGUAGCCAAGCGGUCAUAAGGCAACUGCCUUACAAGCAGCAAGAACUCGAAAGAGUCCCGAGGGUUCGAAUCCCUCCCCUUGCCA
RNAcentral lists this transfer RNA (90 nucleotides) under Magnetococcales bacterium. Its description in RNAcentral is "tRNA-Val". It matches the Rfam family "tRNA". From Rfam's summary of the family: Transfer RNA (tRNA) molecules are approximately 80 nucleotides in length. Their secondary structure includes four short double-helical elements and three loops (D, anti-codon, and T loops). The record is from RNAcentral. Lineage: Bacteria; Pseudomonadati; Pseudomonadota; Magnetococcia; Magnetococcales.